GACGAACGCUGGCGGCGUGCUUAACACAUGCAAGUCGAACGGAAAGACCCUGAUUUUGUGGGGUGCUCGAGUGGGGAACGGGUGAGUAACACGUGAGUAACCUGCCCUUGACUUUGGGAUAACUUCAGGAAAAUGGGGCUAAUACCGGAUAGGAGCUACUGCUGCAUGGUGGGGGUUGGAAAGUUUCGGCGGUUGGGGCUGGACUAGCGGCUUAUCAGCUUGUUGGUGGGGUAGUGGAUUACCAAGGCUUUGACGGGUAGGCGGCCUGAGAGGGUGACCGGCCACAUUGGGACUGCGAUACGGCCCAGACGCCUACGGGACGCAGCAGUCGGGAGUAUUGCACAAUGGGCGGAAGCCUGAUGCAGCAGCGCCGCGUGCGUGAUGACCGCCUUCGGGUUGUAAACCGCUUUCGCCUGUGACGAAGCGUGAGUGACGGUAAUGGGUAAAGAAGCACCGGCUAACUACGUG
This 468-nucleotide ribosomal RNA is filed under the name uncultured bacterium. Its description in RNAcentral is "partial 16S ribosomal RNA". It matches the Rfam family "Bacterial small subunit ribosomal RNA", at positions 28 to 507 of the family's 1533-position model. The record is from RNAcentral.